CCAGUUCUCUCUCUUCCUGUGGCCUGUGGAUCACAGCCACUGCUGCUGUGCCAGAGUUGUCUUGGUCACGGGGAUGCUUCGCAGCCAUAGAACAAUGAUGAAGACACUCUCAGAUCACACAUGAACUUUUGUAACUAAGUAAACUAUGUACGGAACCCAGAGUCUUCUGGAACAUGAAGGCCUGAAUAUCAGGCAGGCAUCAUUGGCUGUUAUGUCCUCAUCUCUCGAUUGAAACAUCGAUAGCCAAGAGCAACUAUGUGUCUCAAGAUCUAACAGAGAAGUAGAAAAACACCACCUGGAGGAGACAGUCCUUACUUUCUAACACAGUCGUGUGGAAGGUAGCCUAACUAUGCUCUCAAAGGCACAGCCCUGCCUAGGGAUUUCUUCCAUGCCUCACCGCAAUGUGCUCAUCUUUAUCUGGAUAAAACAGACAGAAUGGAGCCCCACUUUCACUCCCAGAUUAGAACUGAUUCGUAAGUAUAUGACUUUAGGGCAGUGCGACGCAUGGGGUCCCACUACUCCCUAUGAUCUGUACACAGUUAAUGAUUGGCGGGGGCAGGGGAGACAUUUUGUUAUAUAGCCGCUGAUGAGGUGCCCGUGCAAAUAAGACGCCCUCUUAAACUCUUCUCAUUUUUGCCCAUGCUAAUAUAAAAUGGGGCUUUGUGUGGGGCUAGGCUUUCUUCUCAUCCUUCAAGCCUGUCAACAGUAGGGGAUAGCAAAAGCCGGAAGAGAGUUUGGCCUCAGGAACC
Molecule: long non-coding RNA, 749 nt
Filed under: Rattus norvegicus (Norway rat)
Lineage: Eukaryota; Metazoa; Chordata; Mammalia; Rodentia; Muridae
Description: long non-coding RNA NONRATT012863
Source: RNAcentral